This 726-nucleotide ribosomal RNA is filed under the name uncultured bacterium. Its description in RNAcentral is "bacterial SSU rRNA". It matches the Rfam family "Bacterial small subunit ribosomal RNA", at positions 789 to 1515 of the family's 1533-position model. The record is from RNAcentral.
GGUAGUCCACGCCGUAAACGAUGUCGACUUGGAGGUUGUACCCUUGAGGCGUGGCUUCCGGAGCUAACGCGUUAAGUCGACCGCCUGGGGAGUACGGCCGCAAGGUUAAAACUCAAAUGAAUUGACGGGGGCCCGCACAAGCGGUGGAGCAUGUGGUUUAAUUCGAUGCAACGCGAAGGACCUUACCUACUCUUGACAUCCAGAGAACUUAGCAGAGAUGCUUUGGUGCCUUCGGGAACUCUGAGACAGGUGCUGCAUGGCUGUCGUCAGCUCGUGUUGUGAAAUGUUGGGUUAAGUCCCGCAACGAGCGCAACCCUUAUCCUUUGUUGCCAGCGGUUAGGCCGGGAACUCAAAGGAGACUGCCAGUGAUAAACUGGAGGAAGGUGGGGAUGACGUCAAGUCAUCAUGGCCCUUACGAGUAGGGCUACACACGUGCUACAAUGGCGCAUACAAAGAGAAGCGACCUCGCGAGAGCAAGCGGACCUCAUAAAGUGCGUCGUAGUCCGGAUUGGAGUCUGCAACUCGACUCCAUGAAGUCGGAAUCGCUAGUAAUCGUAGAUCAGAAUGCUACGGUGAAUACGUUCCCGGGCCUUGUACACACCGCCCGUCACACCAUGGGAGUGGGUUGCAAAAGAAGUAGGUAGCUUAACCUUCGGGAGGGCGCUUACCACUUUGUGAUUCAUGACUGGGGUGAAGUCGUAACAAGGUAACCGUAGGGGAACCUGC